UGGGGAACAUUGGACAAUGGGCGCAAGCCUGAUCCAGCCAUGCCGCGUGGAUGAUGAAGGCCCUAGGGUUGUAAAGUCCUUUCGACGGGGAAGAUAAUGACGGUACCCGUAGAAGAAGCCCCGGCUAACUACGUGCCAGCAGCCGCGGUAACACGUAGGAGGCAAACGUUAUCCGGAUUUACUGGGCGUAAAGCGCGUGUAGGUGGUCCUGUAAGUAGGGCGUGAAAGCUCCUGGCUCAACUGGGAGAGGUCGUUCAAAACUGUCAGACUUGAGAGUGGUAGAGGGAGGUGGAAUUCCUAGUGUAGCGGUGGAAUGCGCAGAUAUCCUGAGGAACACCAGUGGCGAAAGCGGUCUUCUGGCACGAAACUGACGCUGAGGCGCGAAAGCGUGGGGAGCAAACA
Molecule: ribosomal RNA, 402 nt
Filed under: uncultured prokaryote
Description: bacterial SSU rRNA
Rfam family: Bacterial small subunit ribosomal RNA
Source: RNAcentral